Molecule: ribosomal RNA, 443 nt
Filed under: uncultured bacterium
Lineage: Bacteria
Description: partial 16S ribosomal RNA
Rfam family: Bacterial small subunit ribosomal RNA
Source: RNAcentral
CCUACGGGAGGCAGCAGUGGGGAAUAUUGGUCAAUGGGCGGAAGCCUGAACCAGCGACGCCGCGUGAGGGAAGAAGGAACUCGGUAUGUUAAGCUCUAUUAGUAGGGAAGAAAAAAAUGACGCUACCUCACUAAUAAGCCUCGGCUAACUACGUGCCAGCACCCGCGGUAAUACGUAGGCGGCAAGCAUUCUCCGGAUGUACUGGGUGUCAAGGGUGCGUAGGCGGCGAGGCAAGUCAGAGGUGAAAUGAGAGGGCCUAACCCCCGGACUGCUUUGGAAACUGUAUGGCUGGAGUGCAGGAGAGGUAAGUGGAAUGCAUGGUGUAGCGGUGAAAUGCGUAGAUAUUAGGAAGAACACCAGUGGCGAAGGCGGCUUACUGGACUGUAACUGACGUUGAGGCACGAAAGCGUGGGGAGCAAACAGGAUUAGAUACCCCAGUAGUC